CCCUUAGAUGUUCUGGGCUGCACGCGCGCUACACUGACGAAUGCAACGAGCUUAUAACCUUGGCCGAAAGGUCUGGGUAAUCUCCAAAUUUCGUCGUGAUGGGGAUAGAUUAUUGCAAUUAUUAAUCUUCAACGAGGAAUGCCUAGUAAGCGCAAGUCAUCAGCUUGCGUUGAUUACGUCCCUGCCCUUUGUACACACCGCCCGUCGCUCCUACCGAUUGAAUGGUCCGGUGAAGCCUCCGGAUUGCACAGGCCCCGUGUCUGGCGCGAGAAGUUGGCUAAACCUUACCAUUUAGAGGAAGGUGAAGUCGUAACA
Molecule: ribosomal RNA, 315 nt
Filed under: uncultured eukaryote
Lineage: Eukaryota
Description: partial 18S ribosomal RNA
Rfam family: Eukaryotic small subunit ribosomal RNA
Source: RNAcentral